RNAcentral lists this long non-coding RNA (500 nucleotides) under Bos taurus (domestic cattle). RNAcentral's name for it is "long non-coding RNA NONBTAT016451". Lineage: Eukaryota; Metazoa; Chordata; Mammalia; Artiodactyla; Bovidae. The record is from RNAcentral.
AAAAUGGUGGACAGUGAAGGUUACUCUGAAAUCUGGUAAAUGCAAGACACUGCUUAUUUCUGCAUCUUGUCAUUCAAUACCCAUGUAACUUCCAUACAGACGAGAAAGUAAAUGAAGCAAAAGUGUUUGUAUUUACAUAUCAUCCAGCCUUGUGAAGAGAAAACUAUUCUUAUAAACCCCUCAAAGAGAAUUUUUCACACUUUUCAUAUCAAAAGUGCAUGAAGUCAGUAAAGUCACAAGUAAACACAGAGCUUGUUCUUUUGAGAACAGCAUCUUGGGGUUUAGUCUACCAAAUCAUACUACAUAUGCAAAUGCUGCUUGAAUGCAAUUUAGCUGCAUGCUAAGCAGCAUAGAAAUCUCAAGGGUCAAAGAACUGAGAAUGUUUGCAGCAUGAAAAUCAUAGAAGCAAAUGUUUGAUGUACAGAUGUGUGUACCAAAAUAGGUCAUGGUUAGAUGAAUUCAUUUAUUUUAUUCAAUCCCUUAUUUGGAAUUGUUUGCUA